Molecule: ribosomal RNA, 499 nt
Filed under: uncultured bacterium
Lineage: Bacteria
Description: partial 16S ribosomal RNA
Rfam family: Bacterial small subunit ribosomal RNA
Source: RNAcentral
GACGAACGCUGGCGGCGUGCUUAACACAUGCAAGUCGAACGGGCCCGCUCUCUUUUUUGGGGGUGGGUUGAGUGGCGAACGGGUGAGUAUCACGUGAGUAACCUGCCCCCUGCUCCUGGAUAACUGCUUGAAAGGGCGGCUAAUACGGGGUGUGCCGGCUGGUCCGCAUGGGCCUGGUCGGGAUAGUUUCAUCUUCGGGUGUUUCGGUGGGGGAUGGGCUCGCGGCCUAUCAGCUUGUUGGGGGGGUGAUGGCCCACCAAGGCGGUGACGGGUAGCCGGCCUGAGAGGGUGGGCGGCCACACUGGGACUGAGACACGGCCCAGACUCCGGCGGGAGGCAGCAGUGGGGGGUAUUGCACAAUGGGCGGAAGCCUGAUGCAGCGACGUCGCGUGAGGGAUGGAGGCCUUCGGGUUGUGAACCUCUUUCUCCGGUGGUGAAGGCCCUGUCCGUUGCGGCGGGGUUGACGGUAGCCGGGUAUGAAGCGCCGGCUAACUACGUG